UUGUUUCUUGAAACAAUAUCUAA
Molecule: small nuclear RNA, 23 nt
Filed under: Arabidopsis thaliana (thale cress)
Lineage: Eukaryota; Viridiplantae; Streptophyta; Magnoliopsida; Brassicales; Brassicaceae
Description: snRNA_19251
Source: RNAcentral